Molecule: ribosomal RNA, 433 nt
Filed under: uncultured bacterium
Lineage: Bacteria
Description: bacterial SSU rRNA
Rfam family: Bacterial small subunit ribosomal RNA
Source: RNAcentral
GGACCCGCACAAGCGGUGGAGCAUGUGGUUUAAUUCGAAGCAACGCGAAGAACCUUACCAACUCUUGACAUCCCCCUGACCGGUACAGAGAUGUACCUUCCCCUUCGGGGGCAGGGGUGACAGGUGGUGCAUGGUUGUCGUCAGCUCGUGUCGUGAGAUGUUGGGUUAAGUCCCGCAACGAGCGCAACCCUUGUCCUUAGUUGCCAGCAUUUGGUUGGGCACUCUAAGGAGACUGCCGGUGACAAACCGGAGGAAGGUGGGGAUGACGUCAAAUCAUCAUGCCCCUUAUGAGUUGGGCUACACACGUGCUACAAUGGACGGUACAAAGGGCAGCGAAGCCGCGAGGUGGAGCCAAUCCCAGAAAGCCGUUCUCAGUUCGGAUUGCAGGCUGCAACUCGCCUGCAUGAAGUCGGAAUCGCUAGUAAUCGCAGGU